RNAcentral lists this long non-coding RNA (417 nucleotides) under Elaeis guineensis (African oil palm). RNAcentral's name for it is "long non-coding RNA (EGUI_LNC050457)". Lineage: Eukaryota; Viridiplantae; Streptophyta; Magnoliopsida; Arecales; Arecaceae. The record is from RNAcentral.
AUGACUGAUGUUGGGUUUGACGAGUUCACCUUAACCCUAAUUCAGUCGGGACUCAUGAUAGAGGAACUCAAUCACACAAGUAGCUGCACUGAGAGGUUCAUCUUCAGUUCUGAUGGGUUGCCACCAUAUACUGCUAGGUGUCACUGAUGGAUUUUGAGAGCAAUUAGAAUGAUUUUGAUGAUCGAUCAUUCUAAUUGUCUGAAUCAGAAGAGUUCUGAUCCAUCGAAAGGAGUUUCGAUGAUGUCGAUGAUGAGAUCAUGACAUAUCUCAUUACCAUACAGAAUUGAACCUAACUGGGUCACACAAACAAGGGUUAGGAUCUGGAUGUCAUCAAUUGGGCUAGCCCAAUUGAUUUGGAUAAGAUCCAAUUAGGUUCAAGGAAAUCAUGCUAGCACUUGAUUGAGCCUAACUUUCUCC